RNAcentral lists this ribosomal RNA (488 nucleotides) under uncultured bacterium. RNAcentral describes it as "partial 16S ribosomal RNA". It matches the Rfam family "Bacterial small subunit ribosomal RNA", at positions 355 to 852 of the family's 1533-position model. The record is from RNAcentral.
UGGGGAAUAUUGCACAAUGGGCGAAAGCCUGAUGCAGCGACGCCGCGUGAGGGAUGACGGCCUUCGGGUUGUAAACCUCUUUCAGCAGGGAAGAAGCGAAAGUGACGGUACCUGCAGAAGAAGCGCCGGCUAACUACGUGCCAGCAGCCGCGGUAAUACGUAGGGCGCAAGCGUUGUCCGGAAUUAUUGGGCGUAAAGAGCUCGUAGGCGGUUAGUCGCGUCUGCUGUGAAAAUCUCGAGGCUCAACCUCGGGCUUGCAGUGGGUACGGGCUGACUAGAGUGCGGUAGGGGUGACUGGAAUUCCUGGUGUAGCGGUGGAAUGUGCAGAUAUCAGGAGGAACACCGAUGGCGAAGGCAGGUCACUGGGCCGCAACUGACGCUGAGGAGCGAAACGCAUGGGGAGCGAACAGGAUUAGAUACCCUGGUAGUCCAUGCCGUAAACGUUGGCACUAGGUGUGGGGUCCAUUCCACGGAUUCCGUGCCGCAGC